UACGGAUAAUGAGAUUUAUUAGCUUGUUUUUUUUAAAAAAAAAAAAAAAAAAAAAAAAAAAAAAAACCACAUAAGAAACAGCACAUCUCUUUCAUUAUAUUUUAUUUGAAGCUGGUCAUAUCAACGUGUCGCAGGACGGACUUUCCCCUUUAAAUUAAAUUCACAAUUUAUUCAGAACUCAUGCAAGGUAUUAAAAAAAUAAUAUCCUACACAUUCUCACAAAGCUUCAUGGGAAAAAAAAAAAAAAAAAAACCCCCGUGAGGAAGCGAGAAACGUCUGACGCCUCAGUCAGAAUCAGUGUGUUUACCCUUUAAGCCUAAUUCUCUGGAAACCCUGUAUAAUCCACACACUGACUUACAGUACAGAAGUGAACAUCUGACCAUAAAGCACAGGCGUGUGAAUGACGGCGUUCUGCUGGACAGCGGUGGUGUUUGAAGGGAAAACGGUGGUGAUAGCUGGCUUUUUAUAAAGAAGGGUUUUGUUUUUUAUUGGUGGCAUUUUCAUAGAAAACUGUAGAAGGUAUAUAGAGGUGUAGAAGGUGUAUAAAGAUGGAGAAGGUGUAUAGAGGAGAAGGUGUACAGAGGUGUAGAAGGGGUACAGAGGUGUAGAAGGUGUAUAAAGAUGGAGAAGGUGUAUAGAGGUGUAGAAGGUGUAUAGAGGUGGAGAAGGUAUACAGAGGUGGAGAAGGUAUAGAAGGGGUACAGAGGUGGAGAAGGUGUAUAGAGGAGGAGGUGUAUAGAGGAGGAGGUGUAUAGAGGAGAAGAAGGUGUAUAGAGGAGGAGGUGUAUAGAGGAGAAGGUGUAUAGAGGAGGAGGUGUAUAGAGGAGGAGGUGUAUAGAGGAGGAGGUGUAUAGAGGAGAAGGUGUAUAGAGGAGGAGGUGUAUAGAGGAGGAGGUGUAUAGAGGAGGAGGUGUAUAGAGGAGGAGGUGUAUAGAGGUGGAGAAGGUAUAGACCAUGUAGAAGGUGUUUUGAUGGAGAAUGUUGCUGCUUGACGGUACAUGUCGGGGUAUUAUAGUGUUCUAAUGAAGAACAUUGGUUUUUCAUGAGGUUUUCAUGCUUGUUUUUGGUGAUCGAGGGUAUUUUAGUGGGUGUUUUAGAGGAAAAUGUCGGUGUUGGCCGUUUUUUAAAGAAUCUUAGUUUUAUCGUGUCAUUUUCCUGGAGAAUGCUGGUGCUUAAAGGCUUUUUAAAUGAAAACGCUGCUGCUAGUACGCCGUUUGUAAUGAUUUUGGUGAUAUUUUCAUUGGGGGCGUUGGUGUUUCCUGAACUUUCAUACCGAAUGUUGCCGUUUCGUAGUAUUUUCACGGCCGUUGUUGGUGUCUGAUGUUGGUUUAAUGGAGAAAGUCGGUGUUAAUAUGCCUUUUAUAAGAAUGUGGGUUUUUGGUGGUAUUUCCAUGGCGAUUGUUGGUGUUUUAAUGAAAGCGCUGGUGUUACUGAGUCUUUCUAUAAAGAAUGUUGAUCUCUGGUGACAUCUUCAGGGAGAACGUUGGCGUGUCGUUAUGUUUUAAUGGAGAAUGUCGGUAUUUGAAGGUGCUUUAAUGAAAAACGUCAGUGCGAGUAGGUCUUUUUCGUAAAUUGUAUUGUAUUUUCAUUGGAAUCGUUGGUGUAUCGAUGGCCUUCAGUGGAGAACGUUGGGGCUUGAAGCGAUUUUAACGAAGAAUGUUGUAGCUUUCAGAAAGAAUUAUGGUUUGUGGUGGUAUUUUGAAGGACGACGCAGGUGUCUGUCGGCCAUUUUAACUGUAAACGUUGGCGUUUGAUAUAGUUUUACUGGAGACUGUUGGUGUUUGAAGGUGUGCAGAUGAAAAAAACGUAGCUGGGCUUUGUUAAAGGAUUGGUCAGCGCCGGGUUUUAAAACGCGACCGAGAUUUCAGACCGUGAAACUACGGAAGUCAGUUUGACCUCAGAGUAUUUUUAUUUAGCUUUAACGUGCGCAGAGAUCCCAGUUUCCAAAAACGCUAAUCUGAUUGGAGAGUGUGAGAACAGCAGAGUUUCCGGCAACUAGCUUCUCCAACCGGCAAACGUCUGAGAAGACGACCUAGAACAAAAUAAAAUUAACAAAACAAAAGAAAUAUAAAUUUUCGCUUCUCCACGCAUGCAUUACUCUAUGACUCUAAAGACAUCAAGAGUCGACACAUGAGAAUCCCCGAGGAAUCUAGCCACAAGUAAAUGCUAUAAAUUAGCACAAAGCCCAAAGACGGCUGAAAAGGACAGGGGGGGGGGGGGAGAAAAAAAAAAUACGCGUGGCAUUCUUUUGGUAGAUUUCUUUUUUAAUUUUCUCUUUGCAUUUAAAAGUACGUUUCAUCACUCUGAGCAAAACCGCGUGUCCGAUACGAAUAUAUCAUCAGUGUUGACUGGAAUGCUGACUUACUGAUUGGUAUUCGUAUUCCCGAAGCCCCCGAAACCUUUAAAAAACAAAAAGGAGAAAAAAACACAACAAAUAAGCAAUACAUUUUAACUUGACAUCACGUGCAAAACGAGUAAGCGUGCACACACACACACACACUUGUGUAUUCAACAAAACAAAAGCUGAUUUAAAAAAAAAAAAGAAAAAAAAAAGAAGAAACAAACCCCGAAAAACCCUCCUGUCCCACCAGUGAGCGGUGACACGGUAAUUAAUUACAGUGUACACGGUUAAAUUACCGACGUGUCCCACAUUCACUCUGCCUCGACAUCACACGCUAAAGCUCGAGCGAGCGGCAGGGUUUGUCGGAAAAGCUCGUGUUGUAGCAGCGUGUAAUUACUGUAAAGUUUCUACGAUGUUCUCCCGGUCUCGUCGGCCACGUCUCUUCUUUCACAGAAGCCACGGGGACAUUAGGCUCGGUGUUCCGUUUGAGUUUUUGACGACGUCCUGAUGGAGAAUUCUGGUGUUUGUCGGACUCCAACGGUGAGCAACCGCAUGGAGUGGUGUUUAGAAAGAACGGAUAUGUUGGUGCCACACGGUGUCCUUAUGACAGAGUGAGUGAUGGGCUUCGUUGGCGUGUCGAUGGACUUUUAAUGAAAGCCGCCGGUGUUGGUUGGAGUCGUGACUGAGAACGACGGCGUUUGGAUGGAGAACACGGAUUUUUGCUGGCCUUCAAUCGUGGAUAUCAGGGUCUGAAGGGGUUUUGAUGGACAAUGUUGGUGUUUGAUGGGGCAUUAAUGAAAAACGUCACUCACGGGUGGUUCUUCGUGUUCUGAUGGAAAAUGUGCCAUUUGUCAGCCUUCGAUAGAGAAGACUGGAGUCUGAUGGUGUUACUGGAGACGACGGUCAUGUUUCAUGGUGUUUUAUGGUAAAUCAUGGUGUUCGUUAGUGCUUUAAUGGGGGGGGGGCAUCAUUAUUGGUCAAUACUGGUCAAUGUUGCAGUUUGAUGGUGUUGUGAUGGAGAAUACUGGCCACUGACGGUUUUUCUGAUCGAGAAUGUUGAUACCUGAUAGUGUUGUGAUGGAUAACGCUGGUGUUUCGUGAUGAAUUCUGGUGUUUGACGGAUGAAAUAAUAAUGAAAAAAAUCUUUAAACGUUCAAAUGUUGGUGUUUACAGGCGGUCAAGAGUGAAUACUGGUAUCUAAUGAUCUUUUAAGGUGAAUUUUUUUUUUAAAUUGCCAUUUAAAAAAAAAAAGGUGUCUAAUGAAAACUGUUUUUUGUUGGUUGUUGUUGGUCAGUGCUUCGGUGGUCAACACGGUCAUUCUGUGGCGUUUUACUGAUAAGUGUUGGUGUUUAAAGCUGUUUUGGUAGAGAAAACGUUUUGGAUGGAAAGUGUUGGAUAGUGUUUUGGAGGUUAGUGUUGUGUUUGUUGGCCUUGAAUGGUGAAUGUUGGUGUUUUGUUGACGUUUCAUGACGAAUGUUAGUGUUGGAUGGUGUUUUAUCGCUCCUUGAUGAUGAUGAUGAUGAUGAUGGCAUCCUAGUGUUUUGAUGGAGAAUGUUGGUGUUUUAAAUGAAAAGAAUGCUCCCUGUUGGUUGCUGGUGGUCAGUGUUGGCGUUUGAUGGCGUCUUGAUGGAAAAUGUUGGUGUUUGUUGGUGAAGGUUGGAUUGAUGUGCACUGAGCUUAAUGAAACCCAACCCAGUGCACUAAUAAGCAAACUGCUGUCUAGAACACUAAUGCGAGGGUCAGAGAUUUGUAUAUACAGCUUCUAUCCUUUAUAUUUUUAUCUAUAAACGGGCCACUUCAUCCUGGCGAUUUAGUCUGGAAGAUUUACAGCUUGGAGGAAUGUUGGUUAAUAAGGAAGCUUACAACUCUCUCAUAGCCAAACGACACAAACCGCGGCAUGAGGGACAGAGAGCUUCUUCUCGUGAUAUUUAUUUCAAACUCAUGGAGAAAAACAUUGAGGGUUGAUGAGCUUUUAUCUGAGCGAUCGGGCCGUUCCUCUGGCACGGCUUUCCGCUUCAUUCCCCCCAUUAUAAUAAUGAACAACAGGGAGGCGUCAAAUGUUGAGGCUCAGACAAAUGAAUCUAUAAAAUCGUCUGCAUUAGCAUUAAUGUCUGUACCGCUGCUUGAAAAGAAGCGCAGGCUCUCAAAGUGAAGGAAGAACGAUAACGGCUCCGUGACUGGGAAAGAGGCGUUUAAUAGAGGCCGAGAGAACAUCUCUCAGACUCGUGUUGCAUGCUAAAUGUGUAAACGUUCGGCCGGCAGGUCGGGGUUAAAUCCGUCGACGUUAGAAUGACUGCUGGGUGUGAAACAGGUGGCGUGUUGGUGCGAACUCACCUCCGGAAGAACCGAAGCCUGAGAACCCGCCGGUCUGACCUCCGAAUCCCGGGCCCUGCUGAGCCAGAUUACCGAAAGUCGGCGUGCUGUUCUGAGUCGCCAGACUGCCGAAGGUGGGGCCACUGGGGGGGACGCAAAGCUGGAAAUGUGGAGGAAAAAAAAUUUUACAAAAGGGGGAAGGAAAGAAAGAAAGAAGUUAACGUACUACGAAAAAGUCAACAAGAGCAAUUUCUAAAUACUGUAUUUAUUACUAUUUAAAAGAAAUAAUAAAAAAAAAUGAUGGAAAAAAAAACAAAACAGGGAAACAGACUUGAAAAUAGCAAAAUAAAAAUAAAAACAAAUACAGAUAAAAUAAUAUAAUGCGAUAAAACUCUCCCACCUGCAUUGUGUAGAAUAUUUACAAUAUCAUGUCUUUAAUCGUCAUGGUUAUUAGAACAAAAUCUAAAUUUCGACACCUUUUUCCAUUUCACCGACUUCCCUAGCGUCAGUAGUGUUAUUCAGCAUUAAUCUGGCAUUUUUAUCCAAGUUAUGAAGAGCUUUGGAGUCAGAAAAUGGAGGAAAUUGUCAUUUAAGGGUGACGAUAUGACCUUUGGGUGCGCAAAGACUUUUAUUCAUUUAUUAUUUUAGGCCAAAGUAUCAUUUGGUCCAAAUUUUUUAUUAUUAAAUCUAAACCUACUCUUCCUUCUAACGCAUACUAAAGCGUCCUGAUGUUUUAUAUUUUAUAUGUAUUAUACACACACACACACACCAUGCAGGUGAUGGGCGUUGUACUUGCGUUGGACAGAAAUACCCGUGACCUCUGCCCCCGAUAUAAGAGCCAAUAUUUGGCAGCUGAGCUUGAAAGCGUCUGAGACGAGGCAUGAAGGUGUUUAAUAUAAACAUGAGCGGCUUUAACGAGUGGAAAAUGUUAGAAGCCAGUCCAGGAACGAGAGAGAGAGAGAGAGAGAGAACAACACAGGAACAAUGUAGAAUAAAUACGUAAAAUGGAGUGUCUGUGUCCAAAGCAAAAACACACUCAAGUGACCAAACGUCUGAAAAAAAAAAACGUUAUAUAGAGAAAUAAAGCCGUUCCCGACGUCUUGCCCAC
Long non-coding RNA from Ictalurus punctatus (channel catfish), 5762 nucleotides. The record is from Ensembl. NCBI's taxonomy places the organism in Eukaryota, Metazoa, Chordata, Actinopteri, Siluriformes, Ictaluridae.